RNAcentral lists this ribosomal RNA (487 nucleotides) under uncultured bacterium. RNAcentral describes it as "bacterial SSU rRNA". It matches the Rfam family "Bacterial small subunit ribosomal RNA", at positions 29 to 509 of the family's 1533-position model. The record is from RNAcentral.
AUUGAACGCUGGCGGCGUGCCUAACACAUGCAAGUCGAGCGGUAACAGGUGUAGCAAUACAUGCUGACGAGCGGCGGACGGGUGAGUAACGCUUGGGAAUCUGCCUAUUAGUGGGGGACAACCCGGGGAAACUCGGGCUAAUACCGCAUACGCUCUACGGAGGAAAGCCGGGGACCGCAAGGCCUGGCGCUAAUAGAUGAGCCCAAGUCGGAUUAGCUAGUUGGUAGGGUAAUGGCCUACCAAGGCGACGAUCCGUAACUGGUCUGAGAGGACGACCAGUCACACCGGAACUGAGACACGGUCCGGACUCCUACGGGAGGCAGCAGUGGGGAACAUUGGACAAUGGGCGAAAGCCUGAUCCAGCGACGCCGCGUGGGUGAAGAAGGCCUGCGGGUUGUAAAGCCCUUUCAGUGGGGAAGAAAGCCUCGACCUAACACGUCGGGGUCUUGACGUAACCCAUAGAAGAAGCACCGGCUAACUCUGUGCC